This 71-nucleotide transfer RNA is filed under the name Actinoplanes regularis. RNAcentral describes it as "tRNA-Lys". The record is from RNAcentral. Lineage: Bacteria; Bacillati; Actinomycetota; Actinomycetes; Micromonosporales; Micromonosporaceae.
CGACAAUUAGAUCGGGUCGGGUGUCGCCUCUUUUCGGGACGUUCGCCAGUUCGAACUCCGGCUUUGUCGGC